AUCAAUGAAGAAUUAACCCUGACCCGAAGCGGAAGUUUUUACUUUUUUUUUAGUUACUUUAAAUAUAAAUUACCACGACGUGGGUUUCUUGCGGGACUGUUGGUUCGAAACCCACAGCUUUACAUUUAUAACAUUUAUAUUAAUGUUGUUAAUGUUAGCUAAAAAGAAGUGGCUAGCCUUUCCUCUCUGCUUUUUUUGUGAGUGGUGCUAGCUCUCCACAACAUUAAAAUGUAUUUUGAGUCAAAUUAUGGAGAAGACGAAGAACAGCGAGACUUAUUCGUGAAUCUGGGCUAUGGAGGACAGAGUUAUCUGUGGCACAUUGACGGCAGGAACAAAAAAGUUUACCAGCGGAAGAACCGCCAUGUUGGAUUCACUUCCGAGGUUGUCAAAGUCCUGAAGCAUCCCAGACCAUCUUUCUACCACCACCAUGUUUAACAGAAGAAAUCAUCUCACUGUUGACACGUCUCGUCUUGUCGAUGUUCUGGAUGCUGACUUCGCCACAGCUGUUCGCCGCCUGGAUCUAAAGAGAAAAGU
Xiphophorus couchianus (Monterrey platyfish) is the source of this 534-nucleotide long non-coding RNA. RefSeq lists it as uncharacterized. The record is from RefSeq and is a predicted model, not a curated record. Lineage: Eukaryota; Metazoa; Chordata; Actinopteri; Cyprinodontiformes; Poeciliidae. The transcript has 3 exons.